Non-coding RNA from Theobroma cacao (cacao), 160 nucleotides. NCBI's taxonomy places the organism in Eukaryota, Viridiplantae, Streptophyta, Magnoliopsida, Malvales, Malvaceae. The record is from RefSeq and is a predicted model, not a curated record.
GGGAAACGUGUGAAAAUUCAAGUAAUCAAGCAAUCAAAGGUGGUGAAUCCUCCGAUAAGGAUAAAGAAAUUGUACCCGAGGGUCGAUAGUCGGAGCACUCUAAAAAAAUUCGACUCCCGAAAUAGCUCAGGAUAGUCGGUAGAUAGCUCAUUGCGUUGAG